RNAcentral lists this ribosomal RNA (460 nucleotides) under uncultured bacterium. RNAcentral's name for it is "partial 16S ribosomal RNA". It matches the Rfam family "Bacterial small subunit ribosomal RNA", at positions 338 to 795 of the family's 1533-position model. The record is from RNAcentral.
CCUACGGGAGGCUGCAGUGAGGAAUAUUGGUCAAUGGACGCAAGUCUGAACCAGCCAUGCCGCGUGCAGGAAGACGGCCCUACGGGUUGUAAACCUCUUUUGUCGGGGAGCAAAGCGAGUCACGUGUGACUCAUUGAGAGUACCCGAAGAAAAAGCAUCGGCUAACUCCGUGCCAGCAGCCGCGGUAAUACGGAGGAUGCGAGCGUUAUCCGGAUUUAUUGGGUUUAAAGGGUGCGCAGGCGGAGGUGCAAGUCAGCGGCCAAAUUGCGGGGCUCAACCCGGGCCUUGCAGCGCGAACUGGCGUGCUUGAGUCCGCGGAAAGCAGGCGGAAUUCGUCGUGUAGCGGUGAAAUGCUUAGAUAUGACGAAGAACCCCGAUUGCGAAGGCAGCUUGCUGCAGCGGAACUGACGCUGAUGCUCGAAAGCGCGGGUAUCGAACAGGAUUAGAUACCCGGGUAGUC